UGGUGCGAUCAUACCAGCGUUAAUGUAUCGGAUCCCAUCGAAACUCUGCAGUUAAGCGCGCUUGGAAUAUAGUAGUACUGGGAUGGGUGACCUCCCGAGAAGUCCUAGUGUUGCACCCU
Molecule: non-coding RNA, 119 nt
Organism: Picea glauca (white spruce)
Lineage: Eukaryota; Viridiplantae; Streptophyta; Pinopsida; Pinales; Pinaceae
Source: Rfam